Non-coding RNA from Vicia faba (fava bean), 336 nucleotides. NCBI's taxonomy places the organism in Eukaryota, Viridiplantae, Streptophyta, Magnoliopsida, Fabales, Fabaceae. The record is from the annotation of a GenBank genome assembly.
GGAAAAGAUGUGAAAAUUAGAAAGGGGAUUUUAGGGUCAGAACAAAAAGGUCUCUUCUUCUUCUUCGCGAACGCGGCGCCGGCCGUUUGCUUUCUUCGUUCUCCGUCGCGACUUCAAACCUCCAUGCUCGCUUUCUUCGUUCCGUUUCUUCAUCCGUCGUGCUCAGCUCUCCUCCACGAUAUCACUCAACCUCUCCGUCUCUACUUCCGAAGCCGCUCACCACCGUCACUUCCUCGCCGCCGUCCGUCACUUCCUCGGCCUUCCACCACUCCGAUCUCCAGCGGCCAUGGCCCUCGCGUUCAGCAGCAACAACAUAAUGUCUCCCUCAAAUUUUAG